Pelobates cultripes (western spadefoot toad) is the source of this 214-nucleotide non-coding RNA. Lineage: Eukaryota; Metazoa; Chordata; Amphibia; Anura; Pelobatidae. The record is from the annotation of a GenBank genome assembly.
AGAGUGAGGGGGUGACUAGUGACAGAGUGAGGGGAGGGGUGAUUAGUGGCAGAGUGAGGGAGGUGGUGACUUGACUGGCACUAGUCACCACCUCCCUCACUCUGUCACUAGUCACUACUCCCUCCCUCCUUCUGUCACUAGUCACCCCCUCCGUCCCUUACUCUGUUACUAGUCACCCCCUCCCUCACUCGGUCACCAGUCAUCCCCUCCCUUU